RNAcentral lists this transfer RNA (87 nucleotides) under Clostridia bacterium. Its description in RNAcentral is "tRNA-Leu". It matches the Rfam family "tRNA". Rfam says of the family: Transfer RNA (tRNA) molecules are approximately 80 nucleotides in length. Their secondary structure includes four short double-helical elements and three loops (D, anti-codon, and T loops). Lineage: Bacteria; Bacillati; Bacillota; Clostridia. The record is from RNAcentral.
GCCGCUGUGGUGAAAUUGGCAGACGCGCUGGACUCAAAAUCCUGUGGUAGCGAUACCGUGUCGGUUCGAGUCCGACCAGCGGCACCA